GACGAACGCUGGCGGCGUGCCUAAUACAUGCAAGUCGAGCGAUGAAGCUUGGAGCUUGCUCCACUUUGAAGAGCAGCGAACGGGUGAGUAACGCGUGGGGAAUCUGCCUUUGAGCGGGGGACAACAUUUGGAAACGAAUGCUAAUACCGCAUAAUAACUUUAACCAUAAGUUUUAAGUUUGAAAGAUGCAAUUGCAUCACUCAAUGAUGAUCCCGCGUAGUAUUAGCCUGGUGGUGAGGUAAAGGCUCACCAAGGCGAAGAAACCUAGGCGACCUGAGGGGGUGGACCGCCAAAACGGGAAUGGGACAACGCCCAAGCUUCCACGGGGAGGAGCAGGAGGGAAACUUCGGCAAUGGGGGAAAGUCUGGACGGACAACGCCGGGGGGGUGGAGAAGGUUUUCGGGUUGGAAAACUCCGUUUGUAGAGAAGAAAGAUGGUGGGAGGGGAAAGCGCAUCAAGUGACGGUAACUACCCAGAAAGCGACGGCUAACUACGUG
This 497-nucleotide ribosomal RNA is filed under the name uncultured bacterium. RNAcentral's name for it is "partial 16S ribosomal RNA". It matches the Rfam family "Bacterial small subunit ribosomal RNA", at positions 28 to 507 of the family's 1533-position model. The record is from RNAcentral.